CGGAAUCUUCGGAUUUAGUGGCGGACGGGUGAGUAACGCGUGAGAUCUGCCUUCAGGAUGGGGACAACAAUUGGAAACGAUUGCUAAUACCCGAUAUGACGAAAGUUGAAAGAUUUAUCGCCUGGAGAUGAGCUCGCGUCAGAUUAGCUAGAUGGUGUGGUAAAGGCGCACCAUGGCGACGAUCUGUAGCUGGUCUGAGAGGAUGAGCAGCCACACUGGGACUGAGACACGGCCCAGACUCCUACGGGAGGCAGCAGUGGGGAAUUUUCCGCAAUGGGCGCAAGCCUGACGGAGCAAUACCGCGUGAGGGAGGAAGGCUCUUGGGUCGUAAACCUCUUUUCUCAGGGAAGAAUACAAUGACGGUACCUGAGGAAUCAGCAUCGGCUAACUCCGUGCCAGCAGCCGCGGUAAUACGGAGGAUGCAAGCGUUAUCCGGAAUGAUUGGGCGUAAAGCGUCCGUAGGUGGUUAUGUAAGUCUGUGGUUAAAGCGUGGGGCUCAACCCCAUAAAGGCCAUGGAAACUACAAGACUUGAGUGAAGUAGGGGUAGAGGGAAUUCCCAGUGUAGCGGUGAAAUGCGUAGAGAUUGGGAAGAACACCGGUGGCGAAAGCGCUCUACUGGACUUAAACUGACACUGA
RNAcentral lists this ribosomal RNA (637 nucleotides) under uncultured cyanobacterium. RNAcentral's name for it is "bacterial SSU rRNA". It matches the Rfam family "Bacterial small subunit ribosomal RNA", at positions 67 to 749 of the family's 1533-position model. The record is from RNAcentral. Lineage: Bacteria; Bacillati; Cyanobacteriota.